Non-coding RNA from Ciona savignyi (Pacific transparent sea squirt), 82 nucleotides. The record is from Rfam. NCBI's taxonomy places the organism in Eukaryota, Metazoa, Chordata, Ascidiacea, Phlebobranchia, Cionidae.
GUCGUCGUGGCCGAGUGGUUAAGGCGACAGACUUGAAAUCUGUUGGGCUCUGCCCGCACAGGUUCGAAUCCUGUCGGCGACC